RNAcentral lists this ribosomal RNA (505 nucleotides) under uncultured bacterium. RNAcentral describes it as "partial 16S ribosomal RNA". It matches the Rfam family "Bacterial small subunit ribosomal RNA", at positions 28 to 507 of the family's 1533-position model. The record is from RNAcentral.
GACGAACGCUGGCGGCGUGCCUAAUACAUGCAAGUAGAACGCACAGUUUAUACCGUAGCUUGCUACACCAUAGACUGUGAGUUGCGAACGGGUGAGUAACGCGUAGGUAACCUGCCUGGUAGCGGGGGAUAACUAUUGGAAACGAUAGCUAAUACCGCAUAAUAUUAAUUAUUGCAUGAUAAUUAAUUGAAAGGUGCAAUUGCACCACUACCAGAUGGACCUGCGUUGUAUUAGCUAGUAGGUGAGGUAACGGCUCACCUAGGCGACGAUACAUAGCCGACCUGAGAGGGUGAUCGGCCACACUGGGAAUGAGACACGGCCCAGACUCCUACGGGAGGCAGCAGUAGGGAAUCUUCGGCAAUGGACGAAAGUCUGACCAAGCAACGCCGCGUGAGUGAAGAAUGUUUUCGGAUCGUAAAGCUCUGUUGUAAGAGAAGAACGGGUGUGAGAGUGGAAAGUUCACACUGUGACGGUAUCUUACCAGAAAGGGACGGCUAACUACGUG